UACGAAGGGGGCGAGCGUUGUUCGGAUUUACUGGGCGUAAAGGGCGCGUAGGCGGGUGGUCAAGUCAGGGGUGAAAUCUUUCGGCUCAACCGGAAAACAGCCUCUGAUACUGACCGUCUUGAGCGAGGUAGGGGCAUGUGGAACUUCCGGUGGAGCGGUGAAAUGCGUUGAUAUCGGAAGGAACGCCGGUGGCGAAAGCGACGUGCUGGACCUCUUCUGACGCUGAGGCGCGAAAGCUAGGGGAGCGAACGGG
This 253-nucleotide ribosomal RNA is filed under the name uncultured bacterium. Its description in RNAcentral is "partial 16S ribosomal RNA". It matches the Rfam family "Bacterial small subunit ribosomal RNA", at positions 524 to 776 of the family's 1533-position model. The record is from RNAcentral.